AUGGCUGGCUGUGGAUGAUGGCUAUGAGAACAGAAAGACCAGCCAGAGUGGAUGAAGGUGAAUUUGACCAUAAGGAAGUCCAAUAGGAAAUAAGGUGACAUCAAAGAUGGACACAUGGGGGGGCGCCCAGGUGGCUCCGUCAGUUAAGCGUCUGACUUUGGCUCAGAUCAUGAUCUCACGGCUUGUAAGUUCGAGCCCCGCAUGAGGCUCUGUGCUGACAGCUCGGAUUCUGUGGCACCUGUCUCUCUGCCCCCUCCCCUGCUGUCACUCUGUCUCUCUCCCUCCCAAAAAUAAACAUGAAAAUUUUUAUUUUUUUUUAUUUUUUUUUAAACGUUUAUUUAUUUUUGAGACAGAGAGAGACAGAGCAUGAACGGGGGAGGGGCAGAGAGAGAGGGAGACACAGAAUCAGAAGCAGGCUCCAGGCUCUGAGCCGUCAGCCCAGAGCCCAACGCGGGGCUCGAACUCAUGGACCGUGAGAUCGUGACCUGAGCCCAAGUCAGAUGCUCAACCGACUGAGCCACCCAGGCGCCCCGAAAAUUAAAAAAAAAUGGACACAUGGGGGUGCCUGAGUGGCUCAGGUGGUUGGGCAUUCGCCUUUGGCUCAGGUCAUGAUCUUGCGAUUUGUGUGUUCGAGCCCCACAUUGGGCUUUCGGCUGGCAGCACAGAGCCUGCUUCAGAUCUUCUGUCCCCCCCCUCUCUGUCCCUCCUUCAUUCAUUCUCUCUCUCUCUCUCUCUCAAAAAAAAAAAAAAGAUGGACACAUGGCAAGGCAUGAGGAAACAAGAUAGGAGCCAGGUGACAGUGAACUGGAGAAUAUUCCCGCGUCCAUAGCUUUACUCCUGUGUAAAUGAAAAGCCUCCUCUCUGGGCUACUAACCGGACCACAAGGACUGCAGUAAUCUUUUACUGAUGCCUAUUAGAAGCAGGACCCCAUGGAAAGAAGAUCCAGGAGACUGGCGAAUGGAGACCAGCGUGAGCUUUUUAUCGAUAAACUGGGCAGCAUGGCCUCCUAUCUGUGGUCAGAGGUUUUACUGCGCUCCACUUUCCCGCCGUGGACCUGGGACAGCCCACCAGGGAAUAUUGUCCCACCUGAAACAAAAUAAGCUCUUCGUGACCACAGGCCCGUUUCGUGGCCACGGCACCGUGAGGCCAGGAGUGGAGGAGCACCUGUUCUCAGGGUUGUCUACAAGUUCAUAGCACUAACAAAUUAGGAUGGGCCUGACAUUAUGCAUCUGUGCUCUUAAUAAAAUUCCUAUUUGAGAAGACUUGGUGCUCA
RNAcentral lists this long non-coding RNA (1273 nucleotides) under Felis catus (domestic cat). Its description in RNAcentral is "lncRNA (ENSFCAG00000048123.1)". Lineage: Eukaryota; Metazoa; Chordata; Mammalia; Carnivora; Felidae. The record is from RNAcentral.